RNAcentral lists this ribosomal RNA (444 nucleotides) under uncultured Sphaerochaeta sp. Its description in RNAcentral is "bacterial SSU rRNA". It matches the Rfam family "Bacterial small subunit ribosomal RNA", at positions 338 to 774 of the family's 1533-position model. The record is from RNAcentral. Lineage: Bacteria; Pseudomonadati; Spirochaetota; Spirochaetia; Spirochaetales; Sphaerochaetaceae.
CCUACGGGAGGCAGCAGCUAAGAAUCUUCCGCAAUGGGCGAAAGCCUGACGGAGCGACGCCGCGUGAACGAAGAAGGCCGUGAGGUUGUAAAGUUCUUUUCGGGAGGGGGAACGACCGUGGCAGGGAAUGGCCGCGGGAUGACGUGAAUCCCGGAAUAAGCCCCGGCUAACUACGUGCCAGCAGCCGCGGUAACACGUAGGGGGCGAGCGUUGUUCGGAAUCAUUGGGCGUAAAGGGCGUGCAGGCGGUCCUGCAAGUCCGGCGUGAAAGACCCCGGCCCAACCGGGGGGGCGCGCUGGAAACUGCAGGGCUUGAGUACAGGAGGGGAUGCCGGAAUUCCAGGUGUAGGGGUGAAAUCUGUAGAUAUCUGGAGGAACACCAAUGGCGAAAGCAGGCAUCUGGCCAUGUACUGACGCUGAGACGCGAAAGUGCGGGGAGCAAACA